UACGAAGGGGGCUAGCGUUGCUCGGAAUCACUGGGCGUAAAGCGCACGUAGGCGGCUUUGUAAGUCAGAGGUGAAAGCCUGGAGCUCAACUCCAGAAUUGCCUUUGAGACUGCAUCGCUUGAAUCCAGGAGAGGUGAGUGGAAUUCCGAGUGUAGAGGUGAAAUUCGUAGAUAUUCGGAAGAACACCAGUGGCGAAGGCGGCUCACUGGACUGGUAUUGACGCUGAGGUGCGAAAGCGUGGGGAGCAAACGGGG
Molecule: ribosomal RNA, 254 nt
Filed under: uncultured bacterium
Lineage: Bacteria
Description: partial 16S ribosomal RNA
Rfam family: Bacterial small subunit ribosomal RNA
Source: RNAcentral